Long non-coding RNA from Eriocheir sinensis (Chinese mitten crab), 1143 nucleotides. RefSeq lists it as uncharacterized. NCBI's taxonomy places the organism in Eukaryota, Metazoa, Arthropoda, Malacostraca, Decapoda, Varunidae. The transcript is spliced from 5 exons. The record is from RefSeq and is a predicted model, not a curated record.
CUGAUGGAGCUUAUGUUCGAGCUCUGGUUCAGGUCGGCAGAGCUACUGAAGCUGGGGGCCGUUAGUAGCAUCGUCACAGCUGGCCGUGGAGCACCUACCGCUGGAGCUGCUGCUGCUGUGGACACUUUGGCUUUACUGUCGUGACUUGACUAUUUUUUAGUGCGGUUGUUAGUGAUGAUUCUGGUGGAGCGGCUCAGUCGGCCAGUGACCUGGACAGUAGUUGUGUAUCGCAAGCAACGACCUGACUCAAGCAACAAACAAGAACGAACGCAAGUGUUACAGAAAACACGGCAGUAGUUGGAGGAACGCCCACUGAUUGAGCAAUGUAACCUCUUACGAUACCAUGAAGGCUGGCUUGUCGGUGUAGCAUCCCGGCCUGUACACUCUGACGGAGGCGGUGAAGGCACGCACAGACGGCACCCGCACCGACACCUGCUCCGCCCUCUCGUACCUGCACACGUUGGGUCUGUGAGGGGAGAGGAGGAAGGGUGUGCGUCAAGGAUAAGAGGACAUCAAAAAGGAAAGGUGGAACCGACGCACAUAAACUACCUCCUUCAUCACACCCUAAACUGUCCCUCGUCUCUUAUCGGGUCUCGUUUGCAUCGCCCACUUCACAACCGCCCCGAGAGAGGCAAUACCUGAUGCCCCUCACUCUGCUGCAUGAGUGGCUGGUAAUCGACCGUUAGGUUCGUCGGGCUGAGCGGGAAGGGGCUUGGAGAUAUCAUCACUACUGCCAUCAACACCAGUCACCUCCAUCUAUCAACACCCCCACCACCAGCCCAGUAGGAUUAUCUCCCUGCUCUCAACACCAGUCAACACCGUUUACCGUUGAUGAGGUUUCAGGCCCCGCUGUACUGUCAGCGCAGCGCUCCGCAGGGCCGUCAGUAAUAAUGAUGUUAGCCUCUAAUAAUCCUCGAUAUGCACCUAUUCACAACGUCGUAGUGAGUGAGUGAGUCUUAAUUGCUUUCAUGGAUAACUUACUGAUGUCCCUUUAAUAAACAUGGCAUCAUUAUAGCCACUUGGCCAUGUUUUGGUUCGUGCUAAUUACAAUAUCUUUCCUUUUUAUAGUAUCACAAAUAUCCAUUGUUUCCUUUUCCAUUUAUCUGAUAUUUUCUUUAUAUUAUCACAAUUCAAUGUCCAACG